GACCGGAUUCGCCUUGGACAAGACAUGUGAAGUUCGUUUGUCGGGUGUGCUUUUUUUUGCUUGUUUUGCGUGUAUUGUGAACAGUAGUGGCAUAUAAUUACAAGUACCUCCAAAAGUCAGUUUUCAUUUAACUCUCAGUUUGGAUGGGAAUAAGAGGUAUAUUAGGGGAAAAGAAAACGAGUUUUAAAAAUGACGAUAAUUAUGAGUGGCCAGGAUAGUUUUAGGGACACAAGUGCCCUGAAGAAGAAAAGACCCAAGAAUCUAAGUUUGGAAAACCACUUAGACUCCACUGAUCAAAACAACAAUAUUACAAUGACGUCGGAGGAUUUACUGCAGCCAGGGCAUGUAGUUAAGGAGAGAUGGAAGGUUGUCAAAAAAAUUGGAGGUGGUGGUUUUGGAGAGAUCUAUGAAGGCCAAGACUUGCUGACCAAAGAGCAAGUGGCUCUUAAGGUGGAAAGUGCGCGGCAACCUAAACAAGUUUUGAAGAUGGAGGUGGCUGUUCUGAAAAAGUUGCAGGGAAAAGAACACAUUUGCAGAUUUAUAGGCUGUGGAAGAAACGAUCGUUUCAACUAUGUGGUGAUGCAACUACAAGGCAGAAAUUUAGCAGAACUCCGUAGGGCCCAACCAAGGGCUGCUUUUAGUCUUUCCACCACUUUACGGCUGGGAUUGCAAAUACUCAAAGCUAUUGAAAGUAUACAUUCUGUUGGAUUUUUGCAUCGUGAUAUUAAACCUAGUAAUUUUUCAAUGGGUAGACUGCCAUAUAACUGUAGGAAAGUUUAUAUGUUAGAUUUCGGAUUAGCGCGCCAGUACACCACGGCAACGGGUGAAGUGCGAGCUCCAAGAGCUGCUGCUGGUUUUAGGGGUACCGUUCGAUACGCUAGUAUAAAUGCACAUAAAAAUAGAGAAAUGGGUCGACAUGACGACUUGUGGUCUCUGUUCUAUAUGCUGGUAGAGUUUGUUAAUGGUCAGUUACCGUGGAGAAAAGUAAAAGACAAAGAGCAAGUAGGAUUAAUGAAAGAGAAAUAUGACCACAGAUUAUUGUUAAAGCAUCUACCAUCUGACCUCAAGCAAUUCCUGGAUCAUAUCCAGACUUUGGAGUAUGCGGAUAAGCCUGAUUAUGCUAUGUUGAUCUCACUAUUUGAACGUUGCAUGAAACGGCGUGGAGUAAAAGAAUUAGAUCCGUUCGAUUGGGAGAAACAAACUGGGGAUACGCAACCGUCGAAUGUGGUAUCGCAGGUUCAACCUCCAACUACUGCACCAACAACAUUGCCCAGGCAAACAACUAAGUUACUCACUACAACGGACAACAAUCAGGAAAAUAUCGAACCCACAGAUAACAAAGAAAUUCAACUUGAAUCUAGAAGAAGAAUAGAAGUCGAAAAUACGGCUCCUCUUGUAACAGAUACUCAAACAAACCCUGGUCGACAAACUGUAGAUAAGAACUGUAAUGCAACAGCUGUUGAUCAAAUUGCUCGAAAACGUCGAGCGACUUCCCAUCUCGAUCAAGCUCCCACUGAUCGUCUGGACAACGAGGCGGCGGUCGCGUCCGCGAAAUCGACGUCGGAGGCGCCGCGUCCCGCACCCUUACGCAAAAGUCAGUCGGGCGCAGCGACGUUGGGCCGAUUGAGGGUGGCCACGCCCCCUCAAGGAAGUGGAGGGGGAAGUUUGGGCGAGUCACCGGCCACGCCCGAACAAGAACGACCGCGCAGGCGCCAAUCGAGCACCGUGCGAAGUUCGAGGGGUGCCAGGGAUCAGAGCGUGACCCAAUUCGCGGUUAUGGAUGAUGAGAAUGUUAGUCAGCAGGUGACGAGAGGUGGCGCCUUAACUUUAGCAAGCCAAUGGAAGUCGCAGUUCGAUGAUAGCGAGGAGACGACUGAUAACGAAUGGAAGCCGGAAUCACCCGAGCAUUAUCGUGGGGGCGGUUCACACGCAGGAUCCACCCACCAGUCUCAUCUACCAGUUCCCCCUAGCGAAACUGCUCCGGGUGGAAUUACACCACAGGCCCAAGCUGCCUUAAGUAAAAUAAGCGAAGAUUCAAGAACAAGCCAUAGGAAAUACGUAAACAUUGCAGGAAUAGAGGAUUAUCCAGAACUAGUCGCUGCCUUACCUAGAGCUUGGUCCUGUCCUGCUCUGGGCCCGUUAGUCCGUCGUGCCCUAAAACCGCCACUCCUCCAACAAGCCGCUUUCGACGAUCUAGUUUUCCGUGUGGACGUAAUGCGUAACGUUGCUUCGAAACACCAACUUCAACCCUCCGAACGUAUUCAAGGAGCGGACGGCAACGAUUGGACCAGCUUACCGGCAUUACAAAUUGCAGAGGAACAAGGCUUUAGGGAGGAAGAAAACGGCGAAGAGAAUGGGGAAGAAGGUCUGCAGGAGGUCGCAGGAAAAUUAGAAAUUCGAGUAGUGUCAAAACCUCCCUCUGAAGUUACAUCUAACACUUACGUCGCAAUGACCAAUCAGCCUCUUACCUCGGUUAGGCCGCAAUCCCUUCCACCAGUUGCAUCGAAGGCCACCACUGCGUUACUGAAUGGUUCGGGUCCCACAAUGGAGAGAGUAAACUCUACGGAUCGGUCCGAUAGAAAACCGGUAGAACGAACAAAAAGCAUUUUGAAGCAGAGUAGUAAAGAAGGAAGUAAUGCGGGUGAGGUAGGAAGUCCUAGGAAGGAAGUCGUGAUAUUUGCGGAUGGGUUGCUGGAUAAAAAGGAUAAAGAUAAGGCUUGCCAGUCCCCCAGAACCAAAGUCAAAUCACCACCGCCAGUAUCAAACCAAACAGACGUGGGCAUCGAUAGGAGAGAUUACGAGACAGAGCAGGAGGUCCAAUGUGAUAUUAACAACGCGCCUUCAUUACAUAAAUUGAACGACGUUAGGAGAAGUCCAAGGCGGGUAUCCACAGGAGGCACAUCCGACAAACAGGUGGCCACGGAAGUAAAGAAAGUAGAAACCGAAAGUAGUAGUACCGAAACUGAUAGUAAAGACAAGCCUGGAAAAGAAUCAAGGAGGAAGUCAUCUCAUGGUUCAACCCUAAAUUUUGAGCCUGUGGAUUCUUUAAUCCGAAGCCAAUCGUUAAAAUCUGUUCCUAGCAAUAAACCCCUUUCCAGCCUUCUGAAUAAUCGAGGCACUGAUUCAAGAUCGGAGAGCAGUUCGGGCGCCUCUGGAACAAACAAAAUCAAGUCGGAUACAAGCGGAGUUCCAAAAGAUAGCACAGACCUUGAAGAGCGACAACGGGUAAUCGAAAGAGACAAAACGGCCAGGAGGUUGGGUGAAGAGGGUCCGAUCCGGUGCUCGGGCGGAGUAGAUCUAAGCACGAAUCCAAAUGUGACUUACGUGACUGCCACAAGCAUUCCAGAGUUAAGAGAGAAACGUUCCAUAGCCAACGGUCUAAGUCCAGGCCUGGAAGAACAAUCUGAAUACUUCGACGCGACUGAAAACCCAACACUGAAGGACAAAAGACACGAGCUCGAUGACGAGGACAGUGGCGUAGAUAAUGCCAGUCAAAUUUUAAGGGAAUCAUCGACAAGCCCCGCAAUGGAAGGCCGUAUAUCCAAAAUUCCAGUGUCAGUCACUGGCGGACAGCGACUAGCCAAAUGCAUGUCGUGGUCAGGGGAUUUGACGCCGGGGCUACGUAGGCGCAGACAGGGAGAAAAGUAUGUUACCGAUCCUAGUCAGUUGAAGUUAAGAUUUAAAAGGCAUUCGAGCAGCGGUCUGAGAGCAAGGGGCAUAUCAAACUGUCUAAUAGACGCGCCCGAGAGUAGUCCCGAGUCCUCCGAAGGCCCGCCACCUCCUCCACCCGGUGGAGAUCCGCCAUCCGAAUCUCAGGUGAGGUGUCGAAGGUUCCGACCCGUUACGUAGGAGAGCGUCGACAUCCCGCAUUAAAUGUGAUUUUGUUCUGUUCACGUGCCUAACAGUUUUCGUCAAGUGUUCAGUGGAAAGUAUUACCCAUGGAGGUAUGCUUUGACCAAUAGCAACUCAAACUUGGAAGCGUGUUGUAAGCCAUUACAAUCAUAACACCAGUCAACAUCAUAAUUUCAGAAGGAUCAGUUUGCUUAACUUUUUUUUUAGUUUUUUUUUCCAAAAUUGUUAAUCUUUCAUUAGUACACUGAGAUAUAAAUAUAUAUAAGCUUUUUGGAAAUAACUUUAUCAAUCUCCGUAGACUGACUAUUUAUAGAGCUCAAGAGAAUUUCGGUAUUCCUUGCAAUAGGAAGUUGUAUCCUUGGGGUAUAGUUCUGCGGUACUGAAUUCCAGAUUAUGUUGUCUGAUGCAGAUGAAGUUGAAGGCCCUGUUUGAGGAUUUGCUGAUGCAUUUGGGAUGUCGGACAUAACUGUAUCUGUUAUUGACAAGAUAAUGAAAACGAACCUUAUAUUAAACUACUAAAAUACUCAGAACUUACUUAUCACUGAAUGAAACUACUUUUGUAGAUAAAACACUUUGUAAAGAAACUUUACCACAUGCAGCAAAACUAGCAACUUAGCCAAUGUUGUCAAUUGUUUUGCGCAUUAAACAUAGAUGUCACUGUCUGUUUUAAAAUAAAGGAGAGGUUCCAUAUGAAAAACAGGUUCCAUAUUACCAGUUUCUCCUUUACGGUAUAUAAUUUUUUUCCAUAUGGAAAAUUCAAUUAUAUUUACAUGUUUAGUGUUCAACAGAUGCAUAACUUAAAAGUUCUUUUAAUGCAUAAAAUUUAGAAACACAUUAGAAAGGUAGCCAAGGAAAGGGAAAAAAGGGACUAUGACACAUAAAAGAAGAUUCUAUAAAAUAAAUAGAAGUUGAAAAAAAAACAGUAAACCUUAUAUACCGGAUGGUACAGGAUGAAGGAAACACUCAUAUGACAUAUUUGUUUCAUAAGCCAAAGAAACGAAAUUUGGUGUGUGUAAGUCAUUAGAAAAGUCUUUGGCAGAAUGAUAAAACACCAAAAAAAACUUGUAACUUGAAAUUAUAAUAAAUAAAAUGGUCCGUAUGGUCAAAGUAAAUAAGUAAACCUUAAUUAACACGUUUCCUUUUGAAGGUAUCAGGUUAUCAACAGACAUUGGCCUUGUUUCCCGCACAGCAUUUUUUAAUAUCAAAGUUUAUGUCGAAAACUAUCAAUUUUUUUGUUGCAAGAAAUUCAAACUAAUAUUUCGUGGGCAAUCCCGUUAAUUACAGUUCAAGCAAAGUCUGAACCGAAAACCUCCUUUUUUGCAAAACAAAGGUAGUGUUCUAAAAAAGUUUAAAUAGCUUUAAAAAGUGAUUUAUUUUAGUGAUCUAAUCAAACUGAGGUUACGGUAAUCUCACUACGUAACUUUUAAUUUUGGUAGCAAAAAUUAGCUCACACUUAUUCUCUUCUCGUUAAUAAGAAUAUAGUGAUACAAAUUGUUCAGGUAAAUUAUAAUAAUCUAGAAACAGUUUUGUCAAACGCAUGUAGAAACAGUUUUAAAAAUAGGAGAUGUUUUAGAUUUUUUAAGGUAAUAGAAUCGUUUUCAUCAAAAUUGAAAGUUACACGUAUUACUUUAGGAAGUAAUGUUAAUUUAGAAUGCCAUAAAAAUAUUGUAACGAUGGACAAUGUAAACAUCAAACGCAAAAUUGUUUGUUCAUCUUUGUAAAUAAAACUACGUGCCCAUCCUAAUAAACGAAUCUUAAAAAAUGUUCUAUUUAAUGCAUUUAUUUGCAGUUCAUUUUUGCGGCAGAAAUUUAUAAACUAGCUAGUUUUGUAUGGCUUUCACUUAAUAGGCAGAAAUCUGUAUGCUUUGUCCAUUAGGUAUCGGUCAGCUUAUUAAUAGUGAACUGUCAAAUAAAUGUUUAAAAUUGCCCUUCCUACGAUAUUUUAAAAUUUAGUUAAAAAAAUUAGUACUGCAACCUUUCAGAAUUUAAAUUAAAUUUACUUCAAUUUUCUUUUCUUAAAUCAAAUUUUAAGUAAUUUUUUGAUAUUUCUAGUUUUUUGAGAUUUUCUUAAAUUUAAGUAAAUUCAUAAGAAUCUAAAAACGGUUAAAUCCUUUAUGAUUAAAUCUUGGAAAAAGCAAUUAAAAAAUGUUUUUAAGAAGAAUAAAUUAUAGGAAUUUGAGUAUAUUUCCUGCCUGAAAAUAUACUCGCCGACACAAAAUUCCGCCACCCUGAAAUAUUGGCCAAGUUUGAUGUUUUAUAAAUUUUUUAUUUUUUAUCAGAUUCUCACGAUUUUGCCAUCAGUUUUUAGAUACAUUUGUUGUGAUUUUUUAAAAUCAUUUUUUAAAGUAGGAUUUUUUCGAUUAGGCUAUAUUAUACAGGAGCAAAACAAACUCUUAUUUUUUCUCGUAAUUUCAAAAAACUGGAAAAUUAAGGUGGAUAAUUCUGUUUACAUACUGUUCCUUGUAAUCUUUGAUGUAUUCUAAACAAUUCGAUUUUUGAUUCAUUCCAUUAUCUCAUUUCUGCUGCUAGCUGCAAAUUUUUUAUUAAAACGCUGAUUUGAAGCUUAUUUUUAGAUAAUUAAUGUCAAGUUUUCGGUUAAAAAUUAUCGACGUUGGCUAAGGACGCAAUUAAUGUGACAUAAAGUUUGACAGUGUCACUAUUAUAAUUUGUUGUGUGUCAAUAUGGUAUUAACUCCAGCAGACGUGGGUAGAAUUUUUGCGUUAAUAGAGGAUGGCUGUAGCAAAAGUUAUGUCGCCCGUACUCUGAGAUUUCCGCGGUCUACAGUUCGAGAUGCCUGGAAUAUUUACAGACGGGAAUUUUUACUAGACGACAAGGCUCUGGCAGAAGGAGAAUGACCACUUCAGCUGAUGAUCACUUUGUCACCAUUAGUUCUUUAAGAGAUCGAAGAUCUACUGCUGUGUAUCUAAAAAAUGACUUGCGAAUACUUCAUGGAGUAAGUGUAAGAACGAUACGUAGAAGAUUAGCAGAAGCUGGACUUUAUUCACGAAGGCCAGCAAGAUGUCCACAAUUACUUCCUCGGCAUCGACAACACCGACUGAGGUUUGCAAGAUCGCAUUUUGAGUGGAUUCUAGAACAGUGGGCAAACGUACUAUUAACAGAUGAAUCCAGGGUUUGUUUAAGGAUGUCGGAUGGUCGUAAGCGGGUAUACAGACGUAGAAAUGAAAGAUAUGCUGACUGCACCAUUUCAGAACAAAUCUCAUAUCGUGGCGGUUCAGUCGUGAUUUGGGCUUUGAUUGAACUUGUAUUUAUUGAAAAUGGAGCUCUAACCGCCCACCGUUACAUUAAGGAAAUCCUUCAAGAAGUUGUUGUCCCAUUUGCUCUAUUCCUUACUUAUCUAACCUUAUUCAUUCGAUGCCGCGAAGACUGAAAGCUGUUAUGGCUGCGAGAGGAGGAAGUACACGUUAUUAAAAUUGUUUUUUUUUUAAUUAACUUUAUGAUAUACCUAGUGUUUGUUUCUCCUAAUAAAAAUACGCUUCAAAUCAGCGUUUUAAUAAAAAAAAUUGCAGCUCGCAUCAGAAAUGAGAUAAUGGAAUAAAUCAAAAAUCGAAAUGUUUAGAAUACAUCAAAGAUUACAAGGAACAGUAUGUAAACAGAAUUAUCCACCUUAAUUUUCCUACAGGGUCUUUUGAAAUUACGAGAAAAAACAACAGUUUGUUUUACUUCUGUAUAAUAUAGCCUAAUCAAAAAAUGCUACUUUACAAAAUGAUUUUAAAAAAUCACAACAAAUGUAUCUAAAAACUAAUGGCAAAAUCGAGAGAAUCUGAUAAAAAAUACAAAAUUUAUAAAACAUCAAACUUGGCCAAUAUUUCAGGGUGGCGGAAUUUUGUGCCGGCGAGUGUGAAAUGUAUGGAACUCGUUUUUAGGUAGUUAUGUAAAAAAAAACAUUGUAAAGGACUUUCCCAAUAUUUCACAUUAACUUAUUUAACUUUGCGUUAUAGGAAAGUGCAAAAAUCAAUGUAUUUGUGUAUCAUAUUAAUCAAGGUUAUGUACACUUAAUAUUUUUUUGUGAUUGUUCAAAUUUCUGGCAGCAUCGCUUUAAAGCAAAUUACCGCAUUAUCUUUUAAAUUGAACAUCGAACAUGAUAAUCCUGAGAUUAUUAGAAAAAGAUAAAUACAAUUUUAUAUAAGUUUGGAUGUUGUCAGAUUUAAGAACCUUAUAAUGGAUUUUCUAAAGCGAAAUGUGAACUUUAUGAAAUAUUUUCUAGUCCCCCAAAUGCCAAGUAUUUUUUUAAAGUACUUGAUUUUCUAUUCUAGUCAAUGACGGAGGCGAUAGAUUUUAAAGAAUUAUAAAUAUUUAUGAAAAAAUAAAUACUUUGUAAAAACUAUGAUAUUACAUCUUAGGGAUAUAGGAGAAAAGUCAAAAUGUGGAGUCUAUGAGUGUUUGUUUAGUAAAGUUGGUAUCGCGUGAAGUGAAUGUAAGAUUUCGGAUUUUGACUUUCACACAAAAAAAAUUCAAAACUGAACAAGAAAUAUAUAGCUAUUAAAAAUUACACUUGAUUAAGUAAAAAUAAAGAAAAAAUAUUAGACUGCUAACGUUGUUUUUUUUUGAAUUGUACUAUAUUUGUUUUUUGUUUUGUUUUAGCGCUGUAUUUUUAAAUUAUUAUAGUUAAUAAAAAUAAAAAAGAGAAUUUGAAUGUAAAAA
RNAcentral lists this unclassified non-coding RNA (8514 nucleotides) under Anthonomus grandis grandis. RNAcentral describes it as "tau-tubulin kinase homolog Asator". Lineage: Eukaryota; Metazoa; Arthropoda; Insecta; Coleoptera; Curculionidae. The record is from RNAcentral.